UUUGCCGCCUCUCUCUCUGUACCUAGGCUAUGCCUCAUCGCCUCCCUCAUCUAUACACCACUAUACACCACUAGAGCACCAUUUGCUCUAUGAUCAUCUAAAAAAGCGAAACAGAUGAGAGAGUACACGAGUGAGAUCGAGAAGGAGGGUGAUGUAGUGGUGUUGGAGAUCUGUUGGCGGCGAUAUAGGUGAUGCUACGGCGGUAUUAGGACUGCACACCGAUUGUGACCCGGUGGUCUGAAGAUUAAAUUGGUUCUGUGGAAAUGGAGAACGAUGAAGAGAUUGAUGAGAUCUUCAUCUUUAUCGACACACCGCCAGAAAUUGAGAAUCAGUAUCUCUGAUUAAUUUGGAUCCUAGUAAUUCCAUAUAUUGUAUAUCUUGAUACCAUCAUCAUAAGUGUCGCUCACAACCAGAAGGGAGUGGAAUUAGCAUCUCGACGUUAUAGCUGGAAGACAUUUAUCUUGUUUUAGAAACAUAGUUUACUGGGUUAUAUAAAAUCAUGGAUUCAGGUUGCAGGUGAAGCAGUUGAAGUGGGAAAUUGAUAAUGAAGAACAUCAAGGAUAAUAACUUUAAUUCAUCUACAAAUUUUAAUUUUCAUCCGGUACAUCAUGAGGAUUUGGUCGAUUUUAUCCCCAUACUUGUUCAAUCAUGCAAAAUAGAUUCAUCUUCUUCUUCCUUGCUAAUUUUUCCCUAAUUUUCGAGGUUUUCCCUUACAUGUAUGUAACUAGAAAGUGGAAUGUUUAUGCUUGGAAUGUUUGAGUCCCUAGUUUUUGAGUAAUAAUAAAUUAUUAAAUGUGUAGUUUUCUA
Molecule: long non-coding RNA, 807 nt
Organism: Lactuca sativa (garden lettuce)
Lineage: Eukaryota; Viridiplantae; Streptophyta; Magnoliopsida; Asterales; Asteraceae
Source: RefSeq, a predicted model, not a curated record